UCAAUCUGCGCGGCCAGUCGUCUAUCGC
Molecule: non-coding RNA, 28 nt
Filed under: Bombyx mori (domestic silkworm)
Lineage: Eukaryota; Metazoa; Arthropoda; Insecta; Lepidoptera; Bombycidae
Source: RNAcentral